GGAAGAUGGAAGAAGAGGAGGGGUAAGAGAGGAAGGAGGGGAAGAAGGAAGAAGAGGAGAGAGGAGGAGGAGGAGAAAAGGAGAGAUGGACUUACAAGCGCCAUUCUCCGCUGUGGGCCCGUGAGAGCAGAUUGUAUCCCGAAAACAAAAGCAAAAUAAGAAUGAACAACUAAAGAAGAAGGAGAACAACAACAGCAACGAAAGAAGAACAAGAGACAAACCCCGAGAACUUAAGAACAAUUAUCAGCAAAAGAAAUUAUUUAUCCCUUCCUAGUGAUUUUUUUUUCUCUUCUCUCGAAAGGAGUUGAAAAGGAGGCUCAUUUCGCGACAUAUUUUAUUAACGACAAAGUGGAGGAAAAAAAAAG
Penaeus vannamei (Pacific white shrimp) is the source of this 365-nucleotide non-coding RNA. The record is from RefSeq and is a predicted model, not a curated record. NCBI's taxonomy places the organism in Eukaryota, Metazoa, Arthropoda, Malacostraca, Decapoda, Penaeidae.